Molecule: ribosomal RNA, 552 nt
Filed under: Sarcocystis sp.
Lineage: Eukaryota; Apicomplexa; Conoidasida; Eucoccidiorida; Sarcocystidae
Description: SSU rRNA
Rfam family: Eukaryotic small subunit ribosomal RNA
Source: RNAcentral
GACCUAUCAGCUUUCGACGGUAGUGUAUUGGACUACCGUGGCAGUGACGGGUAACGGGGAAUUAGGGUUCGAUUCCGGAGAGGGAGCCUGAGAAACGGCUACCACAUCUAAGGAAGGCAGCAGGCGCGCAAAUUACCCAAUCCUGACUCAGGGAGGUAGUGACAAGAAAUAACAACACUGGAAAUUUUAUUUCUAGUGAUUGGAAUGAUGGGAAUUUAAACCCCUUUCAGAGUAACAAUUGGAGGGCAAGUCUGGUGCCAGCAGCCGCGGUAAUUCCAGCUCCAAUAGCGUAUAUUAAAGUUGUUGCAGUUAAAAAGCUCGUAGUUGGAUGUCUGCUGGAAGCAAUCAGUCCGCCCUAUUUGUGGGGUGUGCACUUGAUGAAUUCUGGCAUUUUUGUCCCAAUAUUAUGAUGUAGAAUGUGGGACACAGAGUGUUAUUGGGCGAAAGUUCAAUAGCAUGUCUGUGUUCCGAUUCUUAUUAUAUUGGGAUACUGUUACUUUGAGAAAAUUAGAGUGUUUGAAGCAGGCUUUGAAUUGCCUUGAAUACUGCAGC